UUAUCUUCUACUGUAUAUGAUGAGUAUUGUCUAGUUAUAUCCCUUUCAUUUUGGAUUUCCUUGAAAGGUUUUGAUAUUUAGGAAUUUGAGAUCCAGUGACAUAUCUCUCUGCUGUAGAACAAAGAUGGCUCUGGUAUUGAUACUUGUAAUGCUAGUGUAGGUGGAACUUCAAUUAUAAAUUAUUUAUUAAGUAUGUUCUGUGGAUUCAUCUCUAUUUCUGCUUCUUUACUAGAAAUUUUAGGCUCAAUAUUUCUUUUGCAAAAGAUUACUGAUUGUUGUUUCCUAUAUGUACCUGUUUCUCUAUAGGGGAAAGACAAUUGAUUUUUGGGGGUCAAAGGGAUACAAAUUCACACUUAGCAUGGGGUAGAAUCCCAUUGGUGCCAGCCCGCCUAGCUAAGCUAAGGCUUAUUUACUUGUGUGUCUUUUAUGUCCCCCCCCCCCCCUUGCUUCUUUUUUAUGUGCAAACCAGGUGGUGAGGGUGCUGAGAACGGUAAUAUGGUGACAUUUCUUUUAAAACCGUUCUCUGAUUUCAACUCAAAUAACUUGCCUUGAACCAAGUAUUUGAUACUAAAUCUUAACCAAAGAAAAAAAACAAUUGUGCAUACUAAAAUCACCUUUUGAGUUGACCAUAAAAAAGAUAGCAGUAUUCCACAUCUGAAGAACCCACAUUAAAGACCAAAAAAGAACCCACAUUGUUUUAUAGACAUUUAUUGAGUGUCAUAUUCAUUCCCCAUUCCUGUGGCCUGGCCUUCCAGAACAGAACACGCCCAUGCGCCCACACACACACAUUUAUAUAUGUACUUAUAUUUGGAACUUGGGGGAAGAUAUUUGAGACUAACUAAUUACUUUUCACAAUAAACUUAAUAUAGUCUAUUAUUAACCCAUAUUACUUCUCUUUUCUGGGCCAACCAGCGACUUGUUAGAGUGAACUAAUACAUGAAUAAAUUGGUUAUAUGAUAAUACUUUUAUAUGAAAAAGUUGGUCUCAUACAGGGAUAUAUUAGACUCACAAGAUUGAUUGAAAGGAAUAAUGAAGAUAAAAAACCGGUUUUUGAAGUUUAAUCACUUUGGGCAUGAAUUUGGAAGGAUAUGCACUGUUGCAGAAUUGGAAUAAAAUGGACAAGAUAGAGCAAAAUGGAUGUAGAUGAUUCAUAUGAUAAAAUCUAAAUAAUUUGAAUGGGAUAUAGUUGAUUUAUUCAUGAUUUAAUUGCAUCGUAUAGAGAAAUGUGAGGAGGGAUUCCCAAAGGGGGUUUAAGGUUGUGGAUGAUACGGAGGCUAUGGUCCCUGACUAUUUUAGAAACUGUUAAAGAAUCAUAUGAGAUAUCACUUUUUGGAGGUUAAUCAAGAUUGAGAAAAGGAGCAGCAAUUAGAGGAACCUUUUUUGAAGCUCUAACUAGCCUCAAGGCAGACAGAUCCAAGAUUUAAGCUUUAUGGGUUCACCUUUUAAGUUUUUUAGCGUUGAACUCAUCGUAUUCUUAAAGUUACGGGUUCAUAAUACUAUUUGUUAUA
This 1508-nucleotide long non-coding RNA is filed under the name Solanum tuberosum (potato). RNAcentral's name for it is "long non-coding RNA (STUB_LNC002929)". Lineage: Eukaryota; Viridiplantae; Streptophyta; Magnoliopsida; Solanales; Solanaceae. The record is from RNAcentral.